This 118-nucleotide ribosomal RNA is filed under the name uncultured eukaryote. Its description in RNAcentral is "partial small subunit ribosomal RNA". It matches the Rfam family "Eukaryotic small subunit ribosomal RNA", at positions 1675 to 1785 of the family's 1831-position model. The record is from RNAcentral.
GUCGCUACUACCGAUUGAAUGUUUUAGUGAGGUCUUCGGACUGGAGCUGACGGAGAGGCCUUUGGCUGAUCUGUUAGUUUCGGGAAGAUGAUCAAACUUGAGCAUUUAGAGGAAGUAA